This 2008-nucleotide long non-coding RNA is filed under the name Cicer arietinum (chickpea). RNAcentral describes it as "long non-coding RNA (CARI_LNC001431)". The record is from RNAcentral. Lineage: Eukaryota; Viridiplantae; Streptophyta; Magnoliopsida; Fabales; Fabaceae.
AUGGUUUGGCCUUAGAAACGAGCUUACCGGAUGUCGCUCUAUGGUGUGAUGUGCAAUUGACAAAAGAUGCAUCUGGGAUUUUCCUUCCAAAUGUCAACCUUUUAAAUUCUAAUUACAUUUCAUUUGCUAUCCCGAAUAAAACUACGAAUUACUCGGUUAAUGGUGUAUCCACCCGUGGCUAUUUUUCCGUGGAUUACACCUUGAAGGACUUAUCCAAUGUCUUAUGUAAGUUUCAGUCAUGAUAAAGAUGUAUUUUUAUUGAUGUAGAUUAUUGUUAUUUUGUGGAAUGAUUGAUUCUUUUGUAUGACAUAUAUGUGUUUUAUGAUUUAAGGUAUUUUCUAUGUUUGGCAUACUAGUGAGUUUUGAAGUUAUUUAUUUCUAUGGUUUUUGACAUUUUUUCACUGUUGGACAGUAUCUCAGGGAGUAUUUUCUCGGUCAACUCUACUUGAUGCCAAUGGUUAUCUAAUUCUUACUGUCAAUGAUGUAGUCAAAUCAGUGGCGCCACAAACACCAAGUCUGUGGUUGAAUAUUCAGGUUAAUGGAAUGUAUAAUUCAAUUCAUUCUCAUGAAAGUAAGAGAAGAUCAAAAAUAGCUAUGUUGUUUUUCUUCUUGAAUUCAAUACCUUAUAUAUACAGUGGUUUGGUUGCUUUAUCACUUCACCAUUAAACGCCAAACUUGUCGGGCCAAACUUGUCGGGAUGUGUAAACCACGCGCUCUCGCUGCUAUACUCCCUCUGCUUCUUCCUUUUCUUCUAAAUUCUCUCUUUCUAGCUCUUGUUUCUGCUCAAACUAACAAGAGAUAUGAUUGGAAUACACUUGCCGGUAGGUGUUAUUUUUUUUCUUCUUCUUUUUUGUUAUUUUUUCUUCACUUGCUUAUUGCAUAUUUAAGUAGAAGAAGAAUGUUUAUGAUUAUCAUUAUGAUUAGCUAUGAAGUGGAGGGUCUUAGCUUAGUUUAUAAUUAAACUUUGAUUUGUUAAUUUUAGCUUAGAAGGGAUUUGGCUUCUCAUAAAUGUUUCUUAAUUAAAUGGUUUACCACUAUGUUGAGAUGUUUAUGAAUAGAUUUAGAUAUACGACUCUUCAAUGCAAUAUAAGCAAAAUGAAUAUAUGAAAAACUGAUGUUUUUGGACCUGAAUGUAAUUCUUGAUAUAAUCUCAUAACUUGAUACAAUUUUCCAUUUUUGAAAUGUACUUGAAUUCAAUGAUUCAUGCACCUCUCUUUCCUUUAUUUUUUGUUUAUAUUUCCUUUUUCUUUUUUGGUUCCACUCUGUGCUAGGUGGCCUUCAGACUUACUCUUGUUGAUUGUUUUGCAGGUAAUCCGCCGUUGGUCAUAGCACAUGGUGGUUUUUCAGGGAUAUUUCCUGAUUCGAGUGGUGCUGCUUAUGGUUUGGCCUUAGAAACGAGCUUACCGGAUGUCGCUCUAUGGUGUGAUGUGCAAUUGACAAAAGAUGCAGCUGGGAUUUUCCUUCCAAAUGUCAACCUUUUAAAUUCUAAUUACAUUUCAUUUGCUAUCCCGAAUAAAACUACGAAUUACUCAGUUAAUGGUGUAUCCACCCGUGGCUAUUUUUCCAUGGAUUACACCUUGAAGGACUUAUCCAAUGUCUUCUGUAAGUUUCAGUCAUGAUAAAGAUGUAUUUUUAUUGAUGUAGAUUAUUGUUAUUUUGUGGAAUGAUUGAUUCUUUUGUAUGACAUAUAUGUGUUUUAUGAUUUAAGGUAUUUUCUAUGUUUGGCAUACUAGUGAGUUUUGAAGUUAUUUAUUUCUAUGGUUUUUGACAUUUUUUCAUUGCUGGACAGUAUCUCAGGGAGUAUUUUCUCGGUUACCUCUACUUGAUGCCAAUGGUUAUCUAAUUGUUACUGUCAAUGAUGUAGUCAAUUCAGUGGCGCCACAAACACCAAGUCUGGGGUUGAAUAUUCAGGAAAAUGGAAUGUAUAAUUCAAUUCAUUCUCAUGAUUUAGUCGAUCUCCUUGAUUGUUCUAAAAUUAAUUCUUGAUUUCUCUGAUAUUUUGCAGCAU